This is a long non-coding RNA of Salvia splendens (bonfire salvia), 411 nucleotides long. RefSeq lists it as uncharacterized. The record is from RefSeq and is a predicted model, not a curated record. Lineage: Eukaryota; Viridiplantae; Streptophyta; Magnoliopsida; Lamiales; Lamiaceae. The transcript has 2 exons.
UUGUCUGAUUUUGGUAGUCUGUGGGAAAACAAGAAUAUCUCUUAAACUAUUGGGAAUCCUUGAGUGAAUCAUGUUGGAUUAUAAAUUGACUUCUUUGGGUAAAUAUGAGUUAUUAAUAGUUACGCUAUUUAUAUUACGCAUAAAGACGAAGGAACCUAUAGUGCGUUUUGGAGACAAAGGAGUGAACCUAGAAGGUAGAGAAGUAUCAAGGUGAAAUAUGCUUAUGUUCAUAAGCCUAAGAGGUUAGAGUUGAUAGUAUGUCAGUGUGGUUGGGCAGCUUUGCAAUUUUUGGCGGGUCACUGGUGAUCAACAUGGUUAAAAGUCGUGGCAUGUUGUAUAAUAGUUCAAUCUUUGAUCUUUCGCUGGAUAAAUGUUAAGUUUUUAAUUGUAAUAGUUUUUAAUUGCUCUUUU